CCUACGGGAGGCAGCAGUGGGGAAUCUUGCGCAAUGGGCGAAAGCCUGACGCAGCAACGCCGCGUGCGGGAAGAAGGCUUUCGGGCUGUAAACCGCUUUCAGCAGGAACGAAAAUGACGGUACCUGCAGAAGAAGGAGCGGCCAACUAUGUGCCAGCAGCCGCGGUGAUACAUAGGCUUCAAGCGUUGUCCGGAUUUAUUGGGCGUAAAGAGUUCGUAGGCGGUCAAGUAAGUCGGGUGUGAAAAUUCUGGGCUCAACCCAGAGACGCCACCCGAUACUGCUUAACUUGAGUUCGAUAGGGGAGUGGGGAAUUCCUAGUGUAGCGGUGAAAUGCGCAGAUAUUAGGAGGAACACCGGUGGCGAAGGCGCCACUCUGGAUCGAUACUGACGCUGAGGAACGAAAGCAUGGGUAGCAAACAGGAUUAGAUACCCUGGUAGUCCAUGCCGUAAACGGUGGGCACUAGGUGUGGGUUUCUAUUAACGAAAUCCGCGCCGUCGCUAACGCAUUAAGUGCCCCGCCUGGGGAGUACGUCGCAGACUAAACUACAAUAGAAUAGACGGCGUGAGACGUGCCGACGGACGACGACGAGGGAGUAGG
This 598-nucleotide ribosomal RNA is filed under the name uncultured bacterium. RNAcentral describes it as "bacterial SSU rRNA". It matches the Rfam family "Bacterial small subunit ribosomal RNA", at positions 338 to 951 of the family's 1533-position model. The record is from RNAcentral.